UGAAGGGCAUUUGGUGGAUGCCUUGGCACUGAGAGGCGAUGAAGGACGUAGCACGUUGCGAUAAGCCGCGGGGAGAUGCGAGCAAUCGUUGAUCCGCGGAUUUCCGAAUGGGGAAACCCACCUAGCUUGCUAGGUAUCGCCGUCUGAAUACAUAGGACGGCGAGGCAAACCCGGCGAACUGAAACAUCUAAGUAGCCGGAGGAAAGGACAUCAACCGAGACUCCGUGAGUAGUGGCGAGCGAAAUCGGACCAGGCCAGCGGCCAAUCGAAGAGAACCGGAACGGACUGGAACGUCCGGCCAUAGUGGGUGACAGCCCCGUACGGGUAGUGCUUCGAUUGGUCCUCGAGUAGGGCGGGGCCCGUGAAACCCUGUCUGAACGUGGGGGGACCACCCUCCAAGCCUAAGUACUCCUCAGUGACCGAUAGUGAACAAGUACCGUGAGGGAAAGGUGAAAAGCACCCCGACGAGGGGAGUGAAAUAGACCUGAAACCGAAUGCCUACAAGCAGUCGGAGCGGAGUCCGUACCUACGGGUGCGGAGGUCCGUGACGGCGUACCUUUUGUAUAAUGGGUCAGCGAGUUGAUCUUGCGAGCAAGCUUAAACCGUCAGGUGUAGGCGCAGCGAAAGCGAGUCUGAAUAGGGCGAAUUAGUUCGUAGGAUCAGACCCGAAACCGGGUGAUCUAGCCAUGGGCAGGUUGAAGGUGCGGUAACACGCACUGGAGGACCGAACCCACCUAUGUUGAAAAAUGGGGGGAUGACCUGUGGCUAGGGGUGAAAGGCCAAUCAAACCCGGAGAUAGCUGGUUCUCCGCGAAAUCUAUUUAGGUAGAGCGUCGCAUGAUUACCGCCGGGGGUAGAGCACUGGAUGGGCUAGGGGGACCCAAAGUCUUACCAAACCUAACCAAACUCCGAAUACCGGUGAGUACAGUGCGGCAGACAGACUGCGGGCGCUAAGGUUCGUAGUCGAAAGGGAAACAGCCCAGACCGCCAGCUAAGGUCCCCAAGUCAUGGCUAAGUGGGAAAGGAUGUGGGAAGGCCAAAACAACCAGGAGGUUGGCUUAGAAGCAGCCAUCCUUUAAAGAAAGCGUAACAGCUCACUGGUCUAGUUAAGCCGGCCUGCGCCGAAGAUGUAACGGGGCUAAAGCCAUGCACCGAAGCUGCGGGCAAGAGAGAGCAGUUGUCAAAGUUCAGAAACCCUUCCCCCGGACGGGGGAAGGGGUGGGAUGGGGGCGAAGCCAAGCGCGCCGAGCGCGCUUUCGUUUCCCCCACCAACCCAAACCCUUCCUCCCCCAGUGGAGGAAGGGCUGUUGGGCUUUGUCAUCUGCUCUCUCUUGCGGUAGCGGAGCGUUCCGUAAGCCAAUGAAGGCGUCCCGCGAGGGGCGUUGGAGGUAUCGGAAGUGAGAAUGCUGACAUGAGUAGCGACAAACAGGGUGAGAAACCCUGUCGCCGAAAGUCCAAGGGUUCCUGCGCAAGGCUAAUCCGCGCAGGGUGAGCCGGCCCCUAAGGCGAGGGCGAAAGCCGUAGUCGAUGGGAACCGGGUUAAUAUUCCCGGGCCUGCUGGUGGUGACGAAGACCGAGUGUCGUCCGUGCUUAUCGGAUUGUGCGGGCGGCUUAAGUCUUCCAGGAAAUAGCCCCAGCGAUAUAGACCGUACCCUAAACCGACACAGGUGGACUGGUAGAGCAUACCAAGGCGCUUGAGAGAACGAUGUUGAAGGAACUCGGCAAAUUGCCCCCGUAACUUCGGGAGAAGGGGGCCCGCUCAUUGGGCAACCAGUGGGCGGGGGCACAGACCAGGGGGUGGCGACUGUUUACUAAAAACACAGGACUCUGCGAAGUCGCAAGACGACGUAUAGGGUCUGACGCCUGCCCGGUGCCGGAAGGUUAAGGGGAGCGGUGCAAGCUGCGAACCGAAGCCCCGGUAAACGGCGGCCGUAACUAUAACGGUCCUAAGGUAGCGAAAUUCCUUGUCGGGUAAGUUCCGACCUGCACGAAUGGCGUAACGACUUCCCCGCUGUCUCCAACAUCGACUCAGCGAAAUUGAACUCUCCGUGAAGAUGCGGAGUUCCCGCGGUCAGACGGAAAGACCCCGUGCACCUUUACUACAGCUUUGCAGUGGUGCCAGGGAUCGGAUGUGCAGGAUAGGUGGGAGCCUUUGAAGCGUUGGCGCCAGCUGGCGUGGAGGCAACCUUGACAUACCACCCUUUCGAUCUCUGGCCUCUAACCGCGGCCCGUGAACCCGGGUCCGGGACCCUGCAUGGUGGGUAGUUUGACUGGGGCGGUCGCCUCCCAAAGAGUAACGGAGGCGCGCGAUGGUGGGCUCAAGCUGGUCGGAAAUCAGCUGUUGAGUGUAAUGGCACAAGCCCGCCUGACUGCGAGACCGACGGGUCGAGCAGAGACGAAAGUCGGCCAUAGUGAUCCGGUGGUCCCGAGUGGAAGGGCCAUCGCUCAACGGACAAAAGGUACGCCGGGGAUAACAGGCUGAUAACCCCCAAGAGUUCAUAUCGACGGGGUUGUUUGGCACCUCGAUGUCGGCUCAUCACAUCCUGGGGCUGGAGCAGGUCCCAAGGGUUCGGCUGUUCGCCGAUUAAAGUGGUACGUGAGCUGGGUUUAGAACGUCGUGAGACAGUUCGGUCCCUAUCUGCCGCGGGUGUAGGAGAAUUGAGAGGAUCUGCCCCUAGUACGAGAGGACCGGGGUGGACGAACCUCUGGUGGACCGGUUGUCGCGCCAGCGGCACAGCCGGGUAGCUAAGUUCGGAAGGGAUAACCGCUGAAAGCAUCUAAGCGGGAAGCCUACCUCGAAACUGGUUCUCCCUUGAGAGCCGUGGAAGAUCACCACGUUGAUAGGCCGGGUGUGGAAGCGCAGCAAUGCGUGAAGCUUACCGGUCCUAAUCGCUCGAUUGGCUUGAUC
RNAcentral lists this ribosomal RNA (2907 nucleotides) under marine sediment metagenome. RNAcentral's name for it is "bacterial LSU rRNA". It matches the Rfam family "Bacterial large subunit ribosomal RNA". The record is from RNAcentral.